Molecule: ribosomal RNA, 460 nt
Filed under: uncultured Anaerolineaceae bacterium
Lineage: Bacteria; Bacillati; Chloroflexota; Anaerolineae; Anaerolineales; Anaerolineaceae
Description: bacterial SSU rRNA
Rfam family: Bacterial small subunit ribosomal RNA
Source: RNAcentral
GACGGGGCCCCGCACAAGCAGCGGAGCGUGUGGUUUAAUUCGAUGCUACACGAAGAACCUUACCAGGGUUUGACAUACAAGUAGUAGGGAAAGGAAACUGGACCGACCCUUCGGGGAGCUUUGUACAGGUGCUGCAUGGCUGUCGUCAGCUCGUGUCGUGAGAUGUUCGGUUAAGUCCGCUAACGAGCGCAACCCUCGCUGUGUGUUACAAGUGUCACACGGAACUGCCGGUCAUAAACCGGAGGAAGGUGGGGAUGACGUCAAGUCAGCAUGGCCUUUAUAUCUUGGGCUACACGCACGCUACAAUGGGAAGGGACAAUAGGUUGCGAAGCCGCGAGGCGGAGCCAAUCCAGCAAAACUUCCCUCAGUUCAGAUUGCAGGCUGCAACUCGCCUGCAUGAAGUUGGAGUUGCUAGUAAACGCAGGUCAGCCAUACUGCGUUGAAUACGUUCCCGGGGCUU